GUUGAAAUACCGGUUCCCGUACGAUUACCGAAGUUAAGCAACGUCGAGCUUAGUUAGCACCUAGAUAGGUUACCGCUUGAGAAUACCAGGUACUGUAA
This is a non-coding RNA of Acanthosepion pharaonis, 98 nucleotides long. NCBI's taxonomy places the organism in Eukaryota, Metazoa, Mollusca, Cephalopoda, Sepiida, Sepiidae. The record is from the annotation of a GenBank genome assembly.